ACUCUUCCUAAGCGGCGGUCGUUCGCUUAUAUUGCCUCUGCCGCCCUCGUGGCGGCUAUGGCGAUAAACGGCGUCGAAAUAAGCUUUUCGGACCCGGGGGCGGUACCCGGCGCCUCCACCCGAGCGCAUUGGUCGCAGUGCUGCGCGAGCAGCGGAUCGGUGCGCUCCGGCGGGGGCGAAAUAGGUUCGACGGGAAGUGUAAAGGACGAUCUUUUGCCCGGCAUUGUACCGCCGUUAUCGGGCUAAACUUAUAGUUGCCAACGACAACUAUGCUCCGGUGGCCCUCGCCGCGUAAUGCGGUGACGGU
This 307-nucleotide transfer-messenger RNA is filed under the name Caulobacter sp. RNAcentral describes it as "partial transfer-messenger RNA". It matches the Rfam family "Alphaproteobacteria transfer-messenger RNA", at positions 1 to 281 of the family's 355-position model. Rfam says of the family: Bacterial tmRNA, also known as 10Sa RNA or SsrA, is named for its dual tRNA and mRNA-like properties. Its role is to liberate the mRNA from a stalled ribosome. The record is from RNAcentral. Lineage: Bacteria; Pseudomonadati; Pseudomonadota; Alphaproteobacteria; Caulobacterales; Caulobacteraceae.